RNAcentral lists this ribosomal RNA (254 nucleotides) under uncultured bacterium. RNAcentral describes it as "partial 16S ribosomal RNA". It matches the Rfam family "Bacterial small subunit ribosomal RNA", at positions 524 to 777 of the family's 1533-position model. The record is from RNAcentral.
GACGUAGGGGGCGAGCGUUGUCCGGAUUUAUUGGGCGUAAAGCGUGCGUAGGCGGCUGCGCAAGUCGGGUGUGAAACCCCGGGGCUCAACCCCGGAACUGCAUCCGAUACUGCGUGGCUAGAGGUAGGUAGGGGAGAUCGGAAUUCCUGGUGUAGCGGUGAAAUGCGUAGAGAUCGGGAGGAAGGCCGGUGGCGAAGGCGGCGCUCUGGAACGUUUCUGACGCUGAGGCUCGAAAGCGUGGGGAGCAAACAGGG